AGUUGGAAGCAGAGGAGUUUUAGUGUUUUUACAAUGGAAAUCAGCUGGAUGUCAGAAGCUUUGUCUCCGCCAUUAAUACAGAGUCACAGAGACUAAGGAAACAAGCUGCAACUAAUUUGGCCAAUUUUUUUUCUCCUCUUGGCUGUGUAAACAGAAGAGAAGGGUUUGUUUGGUUGUAGAUAAUGUGGGCUUCUAUCUCUGCCCCCACAAGCCUU
Molecule: long non-coding RNA, 215 nt
Filed under: Linum usitatissimum (flax)
Lineage: Eukaryota; Viridiplantae; Streptophyta; Magnoliopsida; Malpighiales; Linaceae
Description: long non-coding RNA (LUSI_LNC000172)
Source: RNAcentral